RNAcentral lists this ribosomal RNA (253 nucleotides) under uncultured bacterium. RNAcentral's name for it is "partial 16S ribosomal RNA". It matches the Rfam family "Bacterial small subunit ribosomal RNA", at positions 524 to 776 of the family's 1533-position model. The record is from RNAcentral.
UACGAAGGUCCCGAGCGUUGUUCGGAAUCACUGGGCGUAAAGGGAGCGUAGGCGGCGCGGUAAGUCAGAUGUGAAAUCCCGGGGCUCAACCCCGGAACUGCAUCCGAUACUGCCGUGCUAGAGUAAUGGAGGGGUAGCUGGAAUUCUCGGUGUAGCAGUGAAAUGCGUAGAUAUCGAGAGGAACACUCGUGGCGAAAGCGAGCUACUGGACAUUUACUGACGCUGAGGCUCGAAGGCUAGGGGAGCAAAAGGG